UACGGAGGGAGCUAGCGUUGUUCGGAAUUACUGGGCGUAAAGCGCACGUAGGCGGCUUUGUAAGUUAGAGGUGAAAGCCCGGAGCUCAACUCCGGAACUGCCUUUAAGACUGCAUCGCUUGAAUCCAGGAGAGGUGAGUGGAAUUCCGAGUGUAGAGGUGAAAUUCGUAGAUAUUCGGAAGGACACCGGUGGCGAAGGCGGAUCUCUGGGCCUUACCUGACGCUGAGGCGCGAAAGCUAGGGGAGCAAACAGG
RNAcentral lists this ribosomal RNA (253 nucleotides) under uncultured bacterium. Its description in RNAcentral is "partial 16S ribosomal RNA". It matches the Rfam family "Bacterial small subunit ribosomal RNA", at positions 524 to 776 of the family's 1533-position model. The record is from RNAcentral.